UACGGGGGGAGCAAGCGUUGUUCGGAAUUACUGGGCGUAAAGGGCUCGUAGGCGGCCAACUAAGUCGGAUGUGAAAUCCCCAGGCUUAACCUGGGAACUGCAUCCGAUACUGGAUGGCUUGAAUCCGGGAGAGGGAUGCAGAAUUCCAGGUGUAGCGGUGAAAUGCGUAGAUAUCUGGAGGAAUACCGGUGGCGAAGGCGGCAUCCUGGACCGGCAUUGACGCUGAGUGAGCGAAAGCCAGGGGAGCAAACGGG
This 254-nucleotide ribosomal RNA is filed under the name uncultured bacterium. Its description in RNAcentral is "partial 16S ribosomal RNA". It matches the Rfam family "Bacterial small subunit ribosomal RNA", at positions 524 to 776 of the family's 1533-position model. The record is from RNAcentral.